RNAcentral lists this unclassified non-coding RNA (19 nucleotides) under Mus musculus (house mouse). RNAcentral's name for it is "oocyte_clustered_small_RNA4314". Lineage: Eukaryota; Metazoa; Chordata; Mammalia; Rodentia; Muridae. The record is from RNAcentral.
GGCAGCCUUACACUCUUGG